CUGGCGGCAGGCUUAAUACAUGCAAGUCGAACGGUAAGGCCGCCUGUAGCAAUACAGGAGGCACACGAGUGGCGCACGGGUGCGUAACGCGUAUGCAACCUGCCCCCAACGGGACAAACAGCUGGAAACGGCUGCUAAUAUCCCGAUGGUCACUCGGGAGGGCAUCCUCCUGAGUGUAAGAUUCAUUGGUGGGAUGGGCAUGCGUAUUAUUAGGUAGUUGGCGGGGUAACGGCCCACCAAGCCGACGAUGAUUAGGGGUCCUGAGAGGGUUAUCCCCCACACUGGAACUGAGACACGGUCCAGACUCCUACGGGAGGCAGCAGUAGGGAAUAUUGGGCAAUGGGAGCAAUCCUGACCCAGCCAUGCCGCGUGAAAAGGAAGACGGUCCUAUGGAUUGUAAACUUCUUUUGCCGCAGAGUAACCGCGGGGACGCGUCCCCGCCUGAGAGUAUGCGGCGAAUAAGUAUCGGCUAACUCCGUGCCAGCAGCGGC
RNAcentral lists this ribosomal RNA (491 nucleotides) under uncultured bacterium. RNAcentral describes it as "bacterial SSU rRNA". It matches the Rfam family "Bacterial small subunit ribosomal RNA", at positions 36 to 518 of the family's 1533-position model. The record is from RNAcentral.